UACGUAGGGUGCGAGCGUUGUCCGGAAUUAUUGGGCGUAAAGAGCUUGUAGGCGGUCUGUCGCGUCUGCUGUGAAAAUCCGGGGCUCAACCCCGGACUUGCAGUGGGUACGGGCAGACUAGAGUGUGGUAGGGGAGACUGGAAUUCCUGGUGUGGCGGUGAAAUGCGCAGAUAUCAGGAGGAACACCGAUGGCGAAGGCAGGUCUCUGGGCCACUACUGACGCUGAGAAGCGAAAGCAUGGGGAGCGAACAGG
This 253-nucleotide ribosomal RNA is filed under the name uncultured bacterium. Its description in RNAcentral is "partial 16S ribosomal RNA". It matches the Rfam family "Bacterial small subunit ribosomal RNA", at positions 524 to 776 of the family's 1533-position model. The record is from RNAcentral.